CCGCGGGAUUAGAGUUUGAUCCUGGCUCAGAAUCAACGCUGGCGGCGUGCCUAACACAUGCAAGUCGAACGAGAAAGUGGAGCAAUCCAUGAGUAAAGUGGCGCACGGGUGAGUAACACGUGACUAACCUACCCUUGAGUGGGGAAUAACUUCGGGAAACCGAGGCUAAUACCGCAUAACACCUACGGGUCAAAGGAGCAAUUCGCUUAAGGAGGGGGUCGCGGCAGAUUAGUUAGUUGGCAGGGUAAUGGCCUACCAAGACGGUGAUCUGUAUCCGGCCUGAGAGGGCGCACGGACACACUGGAACUGAAACACGGUCCAGACUCCUACGGGAGGCAGCAGUGGGGAAUUUUGCGCAAUGGGGGAAACCCUGACGCAGCAACGCCGCGUGGAGGAUGAAGUCCCUUGGGACGUAAACUCCUUUCGAUCGGGACGAUUAUGACGGUACCGGAAGAAGAAGCCCCGGCUAACUUCGUGCCAGCAGCCGCGGUAAUACGAGGGGGGCGAGCGUUGUUCGGAAUUAUUGGGCGUAAAGGGCGCGUAGGCGGUCGGAUAAGUCUUGUGUGAAAUCUUCGGGCUCAACUCGAAGUCUGCACAGGAAACUAUCUGGCUUGAGUGUGGGAGAGGUGAGUGGAAUUCCUGGUGUAGCGGUGAAAUGCGUAGAUAUCAGGAGGAACACCUGUGGCGAAAGCGGCUCACUGGACCACAACUGACGCUGAGGCGCGAAAGCUAGGGGAGCAAACAGGAUUAGAUACCCUGGUAGUCCUAGCCCUAAACGAUGAUCGCUUGGUGUGACGGGUACCCAAUCCCGCCGUGCCGAAGCUAACGCGUUAAGCGAUCCGCCUGGGGAGUACGGUCGCAAGGCUGAAACUCAAGGAAUUGAC
RNAcentral lists this ribosomal RNA (884 nucleotides) under uncultured Actinomycetes bacterium. RNAcentral describes it as "bacterial SSU rRNA". It matches the Rfam family "Bacterial small subunit ribosomal RNA", at positions 1 to 914 of the family's 1533-position model. Lineage: Bacteria; Bacillati; Actinomycetota; Actinomycetes. The record is from RNAcentral.